RNAcentral lists this ribosomal RNA (1495 nucleotides) under uncultured prokaryote. RNAcentral's name for it is "partial 16S ribosomal RNA". It matches the Rfam family "Bacterial small subunit ribosomal RNA". The record is from RNAcentral.
AGAGUUUGAUCCUGGCUCAGAUUGAACGCUGGCGGUAUGCUUAACACAUGCAAGUCGAACGGAAACGAUACUAGCUUGCUAGUAGGCGUCGAGUGGCGGACGGGUGAGUAACGCGUAGGAAUCUACCUGAUAGUGGGGGAUAGCCCGAAGAAAUUCGGAUUAAUACCGCAUAAUCUAUUCGUAGUAAAGGAGGCCUCUAUUUAUAUGCUUUCGCUAUCAGAUGAGCCUGCGUAAGAUUAGCUUGUUGGUGAGGUAAAAGCUCACCAAGGCGACGAUCUUUAGCUGGUUUGAGAGAAUGACCAGCCACACUGGGACUGAGACACGGCCCCGACUCCUACGGGAGGCAGCAGUGAGGAAUAUUGCACAAUGGGGGCAACCCUGAUGCAGCAAUGCCGCGUGUGUGAAGAAGGCCUGAGGGUUGUAAAGCACUUUCAAUUGUGAGGAAAAGCAAAAGGCCAAUACCCUUUUGUCUUGACGUUAACUUUAGAAGAAGCACCGGCUAACUCCGUGCCAGCAGCCGCGGUAAUACGGAGGGUGCAAGCGUUAAUCGGAAUUACUGGGCGUAAAGCGCGCGUAGGUGGUUUGAUAAGUCGGAUGUGAAAGCCCUGGGCUCAACCUGGGAACGGCAUUCGAAACUGUCUUACUAGAGUAUGGUAGAGGGAAGUGGAAUUUCAGGUGUAGCGGUGAAAUGCGUAGAUAUCUGAAGGAACAUCAGUGGCGAAGGCGGCUACCUGGACAAAUACUGACGCUUGGGUGCGAAAGCGUGGGUAGCAAACGGGAUUAGAUACCCCGGUAGUCCACGCCGUAAACGAUGUCAACUAGUUGUUGGGAGAAUUUAUCUCUUAGUGGCGCAGCUAACGCGAUAAGUUGACCGCCUGGGGAGUACGGCCGCAAGGUUAAAAGUCAAAUGAAUUGACGGGGGCCCGCACAAGCGGUGGAGCAUGUGGUUUAAUUCGAUGCAACGCGAAGAACCUUACCUACCCUUGACAUACAGAGAACUUUCCAGAGAUGGAUUGGUGCCAUGCUUCGGGAACUCGGUGACAUGUGCUGCAUGGCUGUCGUCAGCUCGUGUCGUGAGAUGUUGGGUUAAGUCCCGUAACGAGCGCAACCCUUAUCCUUAGUCGCCAUCAUUUAGUUGGGCACUCUGAAAGAACUGCCAGUGAUAAGCUGGAGGAAGGUGGGGAUGACGUCAAGUCCUCAUGGCCCUUACGUGUUGGGCUACACACGUGCUACAAUGGUAUCUACAAUGAGAUGCGAAGAGGCAACAUUAAGCAAAUCCUAAAAAGAUACCUCAGUUCGGAUUGCACUCUGCAACUCGAGUGCAUGAAGCUGGAAUUACUAGUAAUCGUGGAUCAGCGUGCCACGGUGAAUACGUUCCCGGGUCUUGUACACACCGCCCGUCACACCAUGGAAGUUGGUUACACCUUAAGGCAAAGCAUAAAACCUUUGACUACGGUACGAUCAGCGACUGGGGUGAAGUCGUAACAAGGUAACC